Molecule: long non-coding RNA, 600 nt
Filed under: Rattus norvegicus (Norway rat)
Lineage: Eukaryota; Metazoa; Chordata; Mammalia; Rodentia; Muridae
Description: long non-coding RNA NONRATT029073
Source: RNAcentral
AGACCUGGCAGCUAAAUGCAAUUAGCUGUUCUGGAUGGAGUCUUGUGUAGGAAAGGAGCAUUGGUUAAAGAAUAAGGUAAAGUGACAACAGCCAGAUGCAUCUGCAAAGAGAGGCAGAGACAAAAAGAAGCAGACUGGACAUGGACACGGUCAGGGCUAUUUUGGAGAGAGUCAUGGGAGUCCACCCAGGAUCAGAGACAGUACGGGGAGUCAGGGAGACAGAAGGGCGGGCUUGAGACUUAGAACAAGUGUGUGUGCAAAGGGCCUGAGGGAGCUUGGAGGUGACUCGGACUUUCACACACACUCACGGGUGUAUGUCAGUGGUGGACCUGAGGAAUGCUGGCUUCAUCUGACCACCAGACACUCCUCUGUGGUCCAGCUUGAGCUCAUUUCUGGAUACAUACUCUGCCUGAGACUGGGCUUUAGUCAGUGAUGUCUUAGUUUGUGUUCACUAUUUUAACAAAGGUACCACACUGAUCUAAGGGGUUAACAGUGGGAGACUAAGCUUAAGGUGUUGUAUUUUCUUUGCAUUUUUUCUGUAAAGCAUUUAAAAACAUCUUUUUGGGUUUGGUACCCAGCUCCAAAAAAAAUUAAAAAAAA